Molecule: ribosomal RNA, 614 nt
Filed under: uncultured fungus
Lineage: Eukaryota; Fungi
Description: eukaryotic LSU rRNA
Rfam family: Eukaryotic large subunit ribosomal RNA
Source: RNAcentral
ACCCGCUGAACUUAAGCAUAUCAAUAAGCGGAGGAAAAGAAACCAACAGGGAUUGCCCUAGUAACGGCGAGUGAAGCGGCAACAGCUCAAAUUUGAAAUCUGGCCUUUGGUCCGAGUUGUAAUUUGUAGAGGAUGAUUUGGUGCGGUACUUUCCGAGUUCCCUGGAACGGGACGCCUUAGAGGGUGAGAGCCCCGUACGGUUGGAUACCUAGCCUCUGUAAAUCUCCUUCGACGAGUCGAGUAGUUUGGGAAUGCUGCUCUAAAUGGGAGGUAAAUUUCUUCUAAAGCUAAAUACUAGCCAGAGACCGAUAGCGCACAAGUAGAGUGAUCGAAAGAUGAAAAGCACUUUGAAAAGAGGGUUAAAAAGCACGUGAAAUUGUUGAAAGGGAAGCGUUUAUGACCAGACUUUUUCUAGGCGGAUCAUCCGGUGUUCUCACCGGUGCACUUCGCCUAGUUUAGGCCAGCAUCGGUUCUUAUAGGGAGAUAAAAGCUUCAGGAAUGUGGCUCCUCCGGGAGUGUUAUAGCCUGUUGUAUAAUAUCCUUACGGGGACCGAGGUACGCGCUCUGCAAGGAUGCUGGCAUAAUGGUCAUCAACGACCCGUCUUGAAACACGG